RNAcentral lists this long non-coding RNA (801 nucleotides) under Homo sapiens (human). RNAcentral's name for it is "HSALNT0382390". Lineage: Eukaryota; Metazoa; Chordata; Mammalia; Primates; Hominidae. The record is from RNAcentral.
UGUCUUUCCUAAUGUCUUAAUUCGGUCCUCAGUUAAACUGGCGGUGGGCGCUGCUUUUUUUCCAGGGAAGGAUUCUGGAAGACAUAGGAGGAGACGCCAGCAUUUCGCCCUCCAGCACCUCCUGCGGGCUGUGGUCCGCUUCCGGCCUCACUCGAGCAGACCCCGCCCUCCCAGAGGCCGUUUGUCCAAGUCACGUGAUCGUCGAAUCUGUUGACCUGGCGCCACCGGAAAAAGAAAUUCCCGGGCCCUGGCUUCUUGGCCUGAUGGUGAGGCACCAGAGGUGCUAAAGUGGAGGGCCUCCCAUGGGGUGUUCAGCCUGGGUGUGUAGAAGCACACAGUGUGGUACAGAGGACCCUCUCCAGACAGCUGCCUCCCACCAACCCUAGAAAUGAUGCUGGGAGCUGACAGAAACUGAACUUAGGAGCACAGGAGGCCAGGAGACCUGGGACAGAGAACAGGAGGUGACCCCUCAUGCUGCUGCUCCCUCUGCUGAAACCCAAACUGCAAACCUCUCCUCUCCCUGCCUUCACCUUGCCCCACGGCUUCCACAGACAGUGCCUCAACCCCGAGGAAUGAAUCCGAAGUUCCAACACCACUGACUUUCCCAGGAACUCAGAGCCAGAGAGGGCCAAGGACCAGCUCGAGGACACACAGCCAGGGCUUCUUCCCUCCGAAACCCCCAAGGACUGGACUUGCAGGGCUGGGACAGAGGUGGGGUGGGGGAAAGCAAUGCCUUGUCAACCCACGUGGGGAGCCCCACUCCCAUCCCCAAGGUGCAUAAAGUUGAGGAACACCCCUGCU